AAUAAAUAAGGGCACAGUAGAGGAAACUCUAUGUCGCAAAGCUACGGGUCUAAGGGCGGGUAGCGCCUAAGAUUGCCGAGUUGCUAAA
Molecule: non-coding RNA, 88 nt
Filed under: Paenalicyclobacillus ferrooxydans
Lineage: Bacteria; Bacillati; Bacillota; Bacilli; Caryophanales; Alicyclobacillaceae
Description: Alicyclobacillus ferrooxydans c-di-GMP sequence
Rfam family: c-di-GMP-I riboswitch aptamer
About the family: GEMM was predicted in a large-scale screen for bacterial structured RNA regulatory elements.
Source: Rfam by way of RNAcentral